This 497-nucleotide ribosomal RNA is filed under the name uncultured bacterium. Its description in RNAcentral is "partial 16S ribosomal RNA". It matches the Rfam family "Bacterial small subunit ribosomal RNA", at positions 28 to 507 of the family's 1533-position model. The record is from RNAcentral.
GAUGAACGCUGGCGGCGUGCCUAAUACAUGCAAGUCGAGCGAACGGACGAGAAGCUUGCUUCUCUGAUGUUAGCGGCGGACGGGUGAGUAACACGUGGAUAACCUACCUAUAAGACUGGGAUAACUUCGGGAAACCGUAGCUAAUACCGGAUAAUAUUUUGAACCGCAUGGUUCAAAAGUGAAAGACGGUCUUGCUGUCACUUAUAGAUGGAUCCGCGCUGCAUUAGCUAGUUGGUAAGGUAACGGCUUACCAAGGCAACGAUGCAUAGCCGACCUGAGAGGGUGAUCGGCCACACUGGAACUGAGACACGGUCCAGACUCCUACGGGAGGCAGCAGUAGGGAAUCUUCCGCAAAGGGCGAAAGCCUGACGGAGCAACGCCGCGUGAGUGAUGAAGGUCUUCGGAUCGUAAAACUCUGUUAUUAGGGAAGAACAUAUGUGUAAGUAACUGUGCACAUCUUGACGGUACCUAAUCAGAAAGCCCCGGCUAACUACGUG